CUUGGUCAUUUAGAGGAAGUAAAAGUCGUAACAAGGUCUCCGUUGGUGAUCCAGCGGAGGGAUCAUUACAGAGUUGCAAAACUCCAACAAACCAUCGCGAAUCUUACCCGUACGGUUGCCUCGGCGCUGGCGGUCCGGAAGGCCCUCGGGCCCCCCGGAUCCUCUCGGGUCUCCCGCUCGCGGGAGUCUGCCCGCCGGAGUGCCGAAACCAAACUCUUGAUAUUUUAUGUCUCUCUGAGUAAACUUUUAAAUAAGUCAAAACUUUCAACAACGGAUCUUUUGGUUCUGGCAUCGAUGAAGAACGCAGCGAAAUACGAUAAGUAAUGUGAAUUGCAGAAUUCAGUGAAUCAUCGAAUCUUUGAACGCACAUUGCGCUCAUCAGUAUUCUGGCGAGCAUGCCUGUUCGAGCGUCAUUUCAACCAUCAAGCUCCGCUUGCGUUGGGGAUCCGCGUCUGACGCGGUCCCUCAAAAACAGUGGCGGGCUCGCUAGUCACACCGAGCGUUGUAACUCUACAUCGCUAUGGUCGUGCGGCGGGUUCGACGUAAAACCCCCAAUUUUAACCUUUCUUGAUCAGGUAGGAUACCCCCUGACUUAUGCAUAUCAAUAAGCGGAGGA
This 616-nucleotide ribosomal RNA is filed under the name uncultured fungus. RNAcentral describes it as "eukaryotic LSU rRNA". The stretch from base 260 to 413 matches the Rfam family "5.8S ribosomal RNA". The record is from RNAcentral. Lineage: Eukaryota; Fungi.